RNAcentral lists this small RNA (613 nucleotides) under Rattus norvegicus (Norway rat). Its description in RNAcentral is "uncharacterized LOC108349162". The record is from RNAcentral. Lineage: Eukaryota; Metazoa; Chordata; Mammalia; Rodentia; Muridae.
UCAGAGCAGACAGUAUUGCUGAAUGAAGUUGCAAUGACGUGAAGGGGACGUGACAGUUGGCACGUGUGACGUGAGUUGGCGAGCGAGUGAGACACGGAUCUUUAUGGUGGAACCUUGAGGAAGUGAGCCCUGGGCUGGGGCCCGAGUGUGAGCAUGGGCAGUGGGAACAGCGGCCAUAAAGAAAGGCCUUGGCACAGAGGAAAAUGGGCAGGUCAGGAAACCGGCAAUGAACAAAGGGAGAGUGGGAGGUCUCCCCAGACGUACUACGGUUCCAAGUGGCUUCCUAGAUGCAGGUCUUAGGACAAGGGUGUCUCCAGAGCUUGGAAACUGGCCUUGACCCUGUUUCCAGCCCAGCCCUUGAGAAUCAGCCUCUUCCCCUCCGCGUCCAGCCCGCCACCCACAGCUUGUGUGGCAACGUGCACAGAAACAUUCAUGUCUCCAGCUCCUGGAUCCUCCCGGCGACGACUUCCUCAAACCGGUUACUUAAUGAACGUCAUCCAAUUCCGAUUCUGUCUUGCCACAGCCUCAUUUGCGAAAGCCAAUCUGUUUUAUGAUUUUAACCUCUGGCUAGAAACUGCUCCCAAUUUCAUGUCAUCCAUAAACUUGAUGAACG